This 246-nucleotide ribosomal RNA is filed under the name uncultured bacterium. Its description in RNAcentral is "partial 16S ribosomal RNA". It matches the Rfam family "Bacterial small subunit ribosomal RNA", at positions 524 to 769 of the family's 1533-position model. The record is from RNAcentral.
UACGUAGGGUGCAAGCGUUGUCCGGAAUUAUUGGGCGUAAAGAGCUCGUAGGCGGUUUGUCGCGUCUGCUGUGAAAACUGGAGGCUCAACCUCCAGCCUGCAGUGGGUACGGGCAGACUAGAGUGCGGUAGGGGAGAUUGGAAUUCCUGGUGUAGCGGUGGAAUGCGCAGAUAUCAGGAGGAACACCGAUGGCGAAGGCAGAUCUCUGGGCCGUAACUGACGCUGAGGAGCGAAAGCGUGGGGAGC